GCCGGCUUGGCGGAAUCGGCAGACGCAGCGCACUCAAACUGCGCCGCCCUCGGGCGUGCGGGUUCAAGUCCCGCAGCCGGCAC
Molecule: transfer RNA, 83 nt
Filed under: Pseudoclavibacter triregionum
Lineage: Bacteria; Bacillati; Actinomycetota; Actinomycetes; Micrococcales; Microbacteriaceae
Description: Pseudoclavibacter sp. 125703-2019 tRNA-Leu(caa)
Rfam family: tRNA
About the family: Transfer RNA (tRNA) molecules are approximately 80 nucleotides in length.
Source: RNAcentral